GACGAACGCUGGCGGCGUGCUUAACACAUGCAAGUCGAACGGAAAGGCCCUGCUUUUGUGGGGUGCUCGAGUGGCGAACGGGUGAGUAACACGUGAGUAACCUGCCCUUGACUUUGGGAUAACUUCAGGAAACUGGGGCUAAUACCGGAUAGGAGCUCCUGCUGCAUGGUGGGGGUUGGAAAGUUUCGGCGGUUGGGGAUGGACUCGCGGCUUAUCAGCUUGUUGGUGGGGUAGUGGCUUACCAAGGCUUUGACGGAUAGCCGGCCUGAGAGGGUGACCGGCCACAUUGGGACUGAGAUAGGGACCAGACGGCUACGGGAGGCAACAGUGGGGAAUAUUGCGCAACGGGCGGAAGCCUGAGACAGCGACGCCGCGUGCGGGAUGACGGCCUUCGGGUUGUAAACCGCUUUCGCCUGAGACGAAGCGUGAGUGACGGUAAUGGGUAAAGAAGCACCGGCUAACUACGUG
RNAcentral lists this ribosomal RNA (468 nucleotides) under uncultured bacterium. RNAcentral describes it as "partial 16S ribosomal RNA". It matches the Rfam family "Bacterial small subunit ribosomal RNA", at positions 28 to 507 of the family's 1533-position model. The record is from RNAcentral.